AAACAAAUAAAUAAAUAAAUAGACUUAGUCGUACUGGCUCCACACAGACACAGAAUCAUAGAAUCAUGGAAUCAUAGAAUCACAGUAUCCUAGACACAUAGAAGGUUUGAGGUGGAAGGGACCUUGUAGGUUACCUACUUCCAACUCUCCUGCUACGGGCAGGGACACCUUCUAUUAGACCAAGUUGCCCAAAGCCCCAUCCAACCCAGCCUUGAACACAGCAAUUCCAGGAAUGGGGCAUCCACAACUUCUCUUGGCAAGGGUAACCCUAAAGAAGCUACUUCUAUGCAGAUGCCUGGCAUUCAGAGUUCCUUGAAUGAAAGCCAUUAUCCACCUCCAGUCAGACCAUCCAGCAGAAAGAGCAAGGCAAUCUGAACAGCACAGAGGCAGCAGAGGAAGGGACUUCUUGCCUCUGCACUACAGGACACAUAUGUUCCUAUUUCUAUCAGGUAGCUAAAGAGGUCCACAGCUAAGGAAAAAGGCACAACUUC
RNAcentral lists this long non-coding RNA (491 nucleotides) under Numida meleagris (helmeted guineafowl). RNAcentral's name for it is "lncRNA (ENSNMEG00000009578.1)". Lineage: Eukaryota; Metazoa; Chordata; Aves; Galliformes; Numididae. The record is from RNAcentral.